This 361-nucleotide ribosomal RNA is filed under the name Bacillus licheniformis. Its description in RNAcentral is "bacterial SSU rRNA". It matches the Rfam family "Bacterial small subunit ribosomal RNA", at positions 955 to 1317 of the family's 1533-position model. The record is from RNAcentral. Lineage: Bacteria; Bacillati; Bacillota; Bacilli; Caryophanales; Bacillaceae.
AGCAACGCGAAGAACCUUACCAGGUCUUGACAUCCUCUGACAACCCUAGAGAUAGGGCUUCCCCUUCGGGGGCAGAGUGACAGGUGGUGCAUGGUUGUCGUCAGCUCGUGUCGUGAGAUGUUGGGUUAAGUCCCGCAACGAGCGCAACCCUUGAUCUUAGUUGCCAGCAUUCAGUUGGGCACUCUAAGGUGACUGCCGGUGACAAACCGGAGGAAGGUGGGGAUGACGUCAAAUCAUCAUGCCCCUUAUGACCUGGGCUACACACGUGCUACAAUGGGCAGAACAAAGGGCAGCGAAGCCGCGAGGCUAAGCCAAUCCCACAAAUCUGUUCUCAGUUCGGAUCGCAGUCUGCAACUCGAUG